AUUAGGUUAAACCUCAUAGCUAGAUUUUGUUUCUACUUUUUUAUAUUGCAUGUUGUCUUCCCACCUUACACUUUCGGGUAAGACGAAUCUACAAUAAAGAAUGAAAUUUGAGGAAAUCAAAAGAUUUCAUUUUUCAGUACUACUUGGAAUUCACAUAAUAUAUAAAAUUGAGAGCCCGUGACUGAAGCAAGAUGUAAACAGCUAGCAUGUGCUAGUCAGCUAUGUUUGGUAAUGCCAUAUAAUGUGUGGAACUGCACAGCCAUGCUUGUUAAUCCCCCAAGU
Molecule: long non-coding RNA, 282 nt
Filed under: Gossypium barbadense (sea-island cotton)
Lineage: Eukaryota; Viridiplantae; Streptophyta; Magnoliopsida; Malvales; Malvaceae
Description: long non-coding RNA (GBAR_LNC003889)
Source: RNAcentral